RNAcentral lists this transfer RNA (77 nucleotides) under Desulfovibrio sp. RNAcentral's name for it is "tRNA-Pro". It matches the Rfam family "tRNA". Rfam says of the family: Transfer RNA (tRNA) molecules are approximately 80 nucleotides in length. Their secondary structure includes four short double-helical elements and three loops (D, anti-codon, and T loops). Further hydrogen bonds mediate the characteristic L-shaped molecular structure. tRNAs have two regions of fundamental functional importance: the anti-codon, which is responsible for specific mRNA codon recognition, and the 3' end, to which the tRNAs corresponding amino acid is attached (by aminoacyl-tRNA synthetases). tRNAs cope with the degeneracy of the genetic code in two manners: having more than one tRNA (with a specific anti-codon) for a particular amino acid; and 'wobble' base-pairing, i.e. permitting non-standard base-pairing at the 3rd anti-codon position. The record is from RNAcentral. RNAcentral also lists the same sequence under 11 other names. Lineage: Bacteria; Pseudomonadati; Thermodesulfobacteriota; Desulfovibrionia; Desulfovibrionales; Desulfovibrionaceae.
CGGAGCGUGGCGCAGCUUGGUAGCGCACCUGCUUUGGGAGCAGGGGGUCGAAGGUUCAAAUCCUUUCGCUCCGACCA